Oncorhynchus mykiss (rainbow trout) is the source of this 4718-nucleotide non-coding RNA. The record is from RefSeq and is a predicted model, not a curated record. NCBI's taxonomy places the organism in Eukaryota, Metazoa, Chordata, Actinopteri, Salmoniformes, Salmonidae.
UGUGAUACAGCCUGGAAUCGAACUAGGGACUUUAGUGACGCCGCUUGUCCUGAGAUGCAGUGCCUUAGACCGCUGCGCCCCUCGGGGGCAUUACAUCAAAUGUGAAAUUAUCUGGUAUUAGGAACAUGAUCAAGUUGCUGAUCACAUGAAUGUAGCUUGAAUAAUCUUCAUCAAAGAAACCAAAAAUGAAAUGUCUAUUGUACCAGCAAUUUUUGUUGACACAGCGUCAACUGCAUCCCCAUGCGGCUUUGUACAGCGGCUCUGUUCCCACAAGAGCUGAGCAGCAGCGAGACGACUCACUUGCAUAGCAUCAGUCAGCCUAGGAACAAGGACAAGCUGAGCUGCUGCGCUGGUCUGACGAAGCAGCAACAUAAAUAAAUUUGAGCCACAUAAAGGGCGGUCAAUCCGCGAUAUGGUUGUCGGAGCAUGGAAGCUCCAGAAGACGUGUCGGUCCGUGACCAUCUUUCCCACGACCGAGUCAGAGAGACCAUAAUCUGUGUCCUGCUUUUCAUCUGUCUCUACAUCAUCUCCUAUCGUGUGAGUCUGUGAGGCCAAAAGUCAGGGGAGUGGAGGUCAGGUCACGUCACAGGCUGCAAUUUCUGCUGGGUUUCUGCAGCUCAGUACUCUACUGAUUAACUGUAAAAGUAAUUGAUUAUACGAUGACAGCGAAGAUGCAAUAGUCAACAAAAUUGCGCUGUGGCUCUGUACUUUCACUCUCUCUGUCUCUGUGGGCGCUGUUCUACUCCCACAUCUCUCCAUCUUCUCCAACGAGGUCCUGCUCUCCUUCCCACACAACUACUACAUGCAGUGGCUUAACAGAUCUCUUAUACACGGACUAUGGAAUCUAGUCUUCCUCUUCUCCAACCUCUCCUUGUUCUUCCUCCUGCCCUUUGCCUACUUCUUCACUGAGUCUGAGGGCUUCGCUGGAUCCAAAAAUGUACCUGCUUCAGUGACAGAGAAGACUGGUUAGAAGAUGUGCUUGAGCCAAAUCCCCUGAGUAUUGUUGCCAUGGCAUGAUGAUUGGGAUGAGUUGGCUAAAGCACAUACAUAUCUGGAACAAGGUUAGUGAUAAGGCAUCAUGUACAGUAAAUGUAAAUAAGAUGUGGUAUAAUGUUUCUAUACUCUCUGUACACUGGGUGUGAUGGCUCGUCUGUAUGAGACAGCAGUAGUCCUCUUCCUCCUGACCCUGCUGAUACUGGGAAUGGUGUGGGUGGCAUCAGCCAUACUUCAUGAUAAUAUGGCCAAGUCUUUACGUAUGUCUCUGGAAUUAUCACACAUGUUCAGCAUCACAGGAAGCCUACUGGUCCAACCAAAGGGCUGCAUAUAUUGCUAUUGACUGUGUCCCGCUCCACCAUCCCACUCAGGCUCCUAUUGGCUAAUGGACUCACAAAGAUUCAGUGACACUUGAACAAGCUAAUGACCUGGGCUUACCAAAGUAAGCUUGCCAAAGAGCAGUGUCUCCAAAUAUGUAUCUGUAGUAAAUUCUCUUUGAAAGAGAGAAGGGGAUUGACCUGUUUGCUGAUGGAUGACUGGUGAUCCUGUUACUACUAAAAUGAGAAGAGGAGGAAACUCUGGACUUGGACCUCAGACAUGAUUAUACUUCAGAGUAUAGGUACAGGACAGGUAUUGCACCAAGGGGACCAAUGCCAGUCUCCUCUUCUGUCAGGUCUAUAAUGGGAAAUAAAUUAUAGUGAGAAAUAAAUUGAAAAAAAGAAAAAAAGGGGAGGAAGACAAUGGUGAAGGAAACAAAAUGAAUAGAAAGGGAGCACGAAUAGACAUGUAUCAUAUAUAGAGUAUAGACAUGUAUAGUAUAUAGAGUGUAUAGUAUAUAGAGUAUAGACAUGUAUAGUACAUAGAGUAUAGACAUGUAUCUUAUAUAAAGUAUAGACAUGUAUAGUACAUAGAGUAUAGAGAUGGUUGUCAUCUAGUCUCGAGGUCUUUCCCAAUACAUUAACUUUUCAUCGACAUCCAUGGUGACUUUUGCUAAAAUGUCUGCCAAUCUCAAAACAUCUUGAUCCUUGACUGGAAAGAACUCCACUGUCACGCCCUGGUUUCACCUGUUCUUGUGAUUGUCUCCACCUCCUCCAGGUGUCACUUAUUUCCCCCAGUGUAUUUAUCCCUGUGUUUCCUGUCUCUCUGUGCCAGUUCGUCUUGUAUGUUUUCAAGUCAACCAGCGUGAUUUCCUGUGCUCCUGUUUUCUAUUCUCUUUUUCUAGUCUCCCCGGUUAUGACCCUUGCCUGUUUUUUCUGGACUCUGUACCCGCCUUCCUGACCCUUCUGUCUGCCCUGACAUCAAGCCUGUCUGCCACUCUUUACCUAUUGGACUCAGAAUCUGGUUUUGACCUUUUGCCUGUCCACAACCAUUCUCUUGCCAACUCCUUUUGGAUUAUAAAUAAACUACAAAGACUCUAACCGUCUGCCUCCUGUGUCUGCAUCUGGGCCUCGCCUUGUGCCCUUAUAUCCACAAGAACUUCAGCUCUGUGUACUUCUCUAGAUAUCGCUGUCUUUUCAUCUCUCCUUUUUGCCUAUUGCGCUCUUGUACUUAUUACCUUGUGUAUUAUUCAAAAGAUUUAUUCUGCUGUCAUCUUGUGAACAUAAUUUCCCUUCUUUCUGUUGUCCUUUAAUGGAAUGUUUAGGAAAGAAGCAGAUGUCUGCAUGGGGUCAAAGAAUUAGAGUAAAUCAGUUAACAUUAAUUAAAGUACAUUAACUCUACUUCAAUGCAUAUGGCCAAUUGUACUAUAUUACUCUUUUUAGUAUAUCAUUCUCAUUUACAUAUUUGAAUCAAAACCUUAUUUAAUAAGGACAUUUUAUUGUUGGAUUGAAAAGUUGGACAACAGACUUUUAUGAAGAGAACAGCAACAAACACUGGAAACAAUGGUCUGGAACUUAAGACCACGUUAAACUGUGAUCUGUGUGUUUGAGAAAGACUGUUUGUGUGCGUGUGUGGAUCUGUCUGCCAGUGUGCAUUCAUUUUUUUGCGCAGCGUGUUGUGUACAUGCAUGGAGAUUUUUCUCCAAUAUUUUUUCCAAGUUCCUUUUAUUUUGUAAAUUACGUUUUUCAAUUAUGAGUUUGUGUCCAUAGAUUUAUGUUGACCUCAAGUGAAUGUUCAUAUGUUGUUGUCUCACAGGGGUAAAAACACUCCUCAACCUCUCCUGAAUCAUACAAAUGUCCAAAUGGGUUGUCAUAUCACAAUGCCAGAACAGUCAGCUACUACAUGUUCAAUUAUCUGUAUGUCCUGUUAAACUGUAUUCUUUACGAUGAUGUAUGAUUGUUAGCUAGCUAUAAAAGUGAACUCUGGUUAAAAAUAUAUGAAGAUUGUUUAAAACUGUGAAUAUCUAAACUGAAGAGAGUUUUGUAAGGACUCCUCUACUGGAACAAUACAUGUUUUUUUUCAGUUUGUUUCUUACACCGUUGCUGCUUGUUUUAAUUUGAGCAUAGCAUACCCACUGAGAAAAUAUAUUGAUUUGGCAACCCUGUUUCACUCCAAUCUGUAAGUUUGCCUGAAGUUUUUAGAGCCUCAAAAGUAGGCUAGUCUUUAUAUACAAAUCCCUUCUCCCACACCAUCUGUUAUGUGUCUAGUACCAAAUGGUAUGGUAAAGAUAAGUCUGUCAUCAUUUUAAAUCGUUUCUAUCUUCUUCAAUUGUGUAAUUAAGGGGCUGCUGGGGCUACACAAAGAUGGCAUAAGUCUACUCAACCUAACUUGCUUAACUUUUUAAGCAGCUAUUUAACAUAUUUUGAUUUUGUUGUGGAGUGAUCACUUUCCACAUAACAAGGAUCACUGUACACAUUCAUGGUUGAAUAGGGCCUGGGCCAUAAAAUAAGCAUAGGCCUAUUUAAAACUGAUAAAAGGUUCUCUGUGUGGUCCUCUGUAGCUGAAGCUCUGAGCUGUCCGAUCAGGUCCAUUGUCUACUUGCUUGCUCUGUAGCUCAAUUGGUACUACUGGCGCUUGCAACGCCAGGACACUGGAUUAGAUUCCAGUACUUGACUUGGGCGGAAGCUCACCGGAGCUGAGUAGCGGCACCUCAAAUAUUCUCCUGCUUAAACUCCUGUUCCUGUUAUAGAAUAUUAGCUCAAACGUAUUGUGGAGCUCCUGCACCUAAAUAUAAACAGUACCAACACCCAAAAUGAGUACCGGCGCCUAUUUCAGUCCAAGUCAAGUAUUGGGGACCAUCCAUACUUAGAAUGUAUGCACGCGUGAAUGUAAAUCGUUUUUGGUAAAAGCGUCUGCUAAAUGGCACAUAAUUAUUAUUUAUAAAAAAAUACAUGUUUCUGUAAAAGGAUGUAUAUGUUAAUAUUGUACGGUCAUUGUCAAUUUAAUAAUAAAAACUGCUGAAAGUGUUUUGCUAUUUGAAUGUGUAUUUCUCUCACACGCGUUUGCAUAUAACUAAAUCAGGGUGAGAGUGACCUCUGCUGUACAAAAUAGGGCACCCUCAUGUCAAGCUCUGACGUGAGGGUAUCAAGCGCAUGAAGCGAGAUGGUGGAUGGUGGUUGGAAGAGCGCGCUUGUUUGAAAUGGAAAAGCGUUGCGGUAGCUUUUUAUAAAGAACAUCAAGAAGAAGCAGCUGCUUUAUAAAUGGGAUGCACUGUUGAGCGCAACAUCCCGAGGGGUUCGUGCUGAUUGUACGGAGAUUGUGACAGCCGCUUAAAUGACUUCCCUUGCGAAGGGCAGAAGUUCUCAUAUGCUGAGGCAGUGAAGAAAGUAGAGGACACAUCAAGACAG